RNAcentral lists this unclassified non-coding RNA (2024 nucleotides) under Zea mays. RNAcentral describes it as "misc RNA Zm00001eb196910". The record is from RNAcentral. Lineage: Eukaryota; Viridiplantae; Streptophyta; Magnoliopsida; Poales; Poaceae.
CUCUACUUCCACACCUUCCCCCUCCGGCCCUCCACUCCGCAUCCCGCCCCAGUGUCCCCUCCCCCUCCCUCCACCCCCGCACCCGCGAUGCCGCCGGACAGAGAAGACGCCGCGGGCGCGGGCGCGGACGUCGCGGCCGACGAGCUGCAGAGCGUGAGCUUCGGCUCGUCCUCGGACCGCUCGCGCUCGCGCUCGGCCUCCACGGCGUCCACGGCCACGGCGUCCUGCUCCACGUCCUCGUCGGGGCCGCUACACCAGCACCUCUCGCUCCCGGCCCCGCGCCGCAACCCCUCCCCCUCCCCCGCGCCAACCCCAACCCUGCCCACGCAGAUCCCGCGCCUCGGCGCCGUCUCGCUCUCCGACAUCCGCUUCCUGCGCCGGCUCGGCGCCGGCGACAUCGGCAGCGUGUACCUGGCCGAGGUCCGCCGCCCCACCCCCACCGCCGGGGCCGCCGGCAAGGAGAAGCACACCUCGACUUUGGCGGCGGCGGCGGUGGUGGUGGCCGCCAAGGUGAUGGACCGCAAGGAGCUGGAGGGGCGAAACAAGGAGGGCCGCGCGCGCACGGAGCGCGAGAUCCUCGAGGCCGUCGACCACCCAUUCCUGCCCCGCCUCUACGGCGUCGCCGAGGGCGACCGAUGGUCCUGCCUCCUCACCGAGUUCUGCCCCGGCGGGGACCUCCACGUGCUCCGCCAGCGCCAGCCGCACCGCCGCUUCUCCGAGGCCGCCGUCAGGUUCUACGCGGCGGAGGUGGUGGCGGCGCUGGAGUACAUCCACAUGAUGGACAUCGUGUACCGCGACCUGAAGCCGGAGAACGUGCUGGUCCGCGGGGACGGCCACAUCAUGCUGACCGACUUCGACCUGUCGCUCAAGUGCGACCCGACGGCGCCGACGCCGGCGCACGUCAUCUCCGACCCGCUGUCGCUGGCGGGGCGGUCGGGCGGCGCCGCGUCGUCCACGUCCUCCUGCGCCAUCUCCUCCUCCUGCAUCGUGCCGGCCGCCUCCUGCUUCCAGCUCUUCCCGGGCCGCGGGCGCGGGCGCCGGCGCCGCCGGCCCCGCUGGCUGCGCGCGGGCAAGAAACCGUCCCCGAACAACAACGGCGGGCUGGAGCUGGAGCUCGUGGCGGAGCCGGUGGAGCUGCGGUCCACGUCGUUCGUGGGCACGCACGAGUACCUGGCUCCCGAGAUCGUGGCCGGGGAAGGGCACGGCAGCGCCGUGGACUGGUGGACGCUGGGGGUCUUCGUCUUCGAGCUGCUGUACGGGGCUACGCCCUUCAAGGGCCACGACAACGAGAUGACGCUGGCCAACAUCGUGGCCCGCGCGCUCGAGUUCCCCCGGGACCGCGACCCGCCCGCGUCGCCCGCCGCCCGCGACCUCGUCACCGCGCUCCUCGCCAAGGACCCCGCCCGCCGCCUCGGCGCCACCGUCGGCGCCGCCGCCAUCAAGCGCCACCCCUUCUUCGCCGGCGUCAACUGGGCCCUGCUCCGCUGCGCCCCGCCGCCUUACGUGCCGCCGCCGUUCAGCAUCGCCAAGGCGGCGGCUGCUGCUGGUGGAGGCGGCGGGAAAGACGACGACGACGACGACGUGUCGGACGACAGUUGUCCCGGCACGCCCGUGGAGUACUACUAGAAGAAGAAUAAGAAGAAGAAGCCAAGGAGGAGAAGCGUCCGUGUCCGGCCGCCGUCGUACGUACGUACGUGCGCGCGCGCGCAAGGAGCCACGCCACGCCACGGCCCUGCCAGUCGGUCGGUUCGGUAGGCUCGCCGGGGCGGGCCCCUGCCAGGCACCACCUCCGCUUGUCCGAGUCCGGCGGGGCAGGCGCGUGCACGUGGUGGGGGACGGACGGACGGGCCACGGCGCGUGGCGCGCAGGAGGCAGGGCCGCGCUGUCGCCUCGAGUGGCUGCCGGUUCACGGUCGGUCUUUACCAAUAAUAAUAGCUUACUGCCGUCCCUGGCUGCAGCACGCAUGUCAUAACCUGGCGGCCGCCGUGCCAUUGGCUCCGGCUCCUGUCCUGCCUUGGUCAGUA